CUGCCCCUCUUCUGCUGGGGCGGUCCUCCCAGGAAGAGGUCUUCGGGCAGGCCGGACAAGCCACCCACAAGGAGGUUGUGAUGGCUACUCUAAGAGGAACCAGGCAAGGCCAGGCCCACCAGACUGGCCACAGGGUCUUUGCAGUUUAGGGCCUCAGGCCCUCAGCCUCUUCCUACAGCAAGGCCCCAGCCCCAGACCUGCACUUGCUUUCCCACAGAGGCCAGUCCCUGGCAAGGUCCCUUCUUUCACAAUGCAUCACCUCCUUUCAGACCACUGGGGACAAUCCUCCCCUGGGAAAUGCCAUACUCUUCUGGCCUCUUUCCUCUCAACCUCCAACCCAGAGUAAGCCCAUCAUCGUGCGAUGCAACAGUCCAUGUUUAUCUGAAUCUCACUGACUGGAGUCAACAGCAGUCCAAACAUAGGAAGUGCCACUUGAAGCUGUGCCUCAGUGUUCCUCAUCUGACAACCCACCGCAGGUGCAGGGCUCACGCCCACAGCCGCCCAUCCCCUGGCAUCCGUUCUCAUAUGCAUGGUGAAGUGGUCCUUCAUCAUUGCCUUGCCAGUUCGAUGGACCUGCUCAGGAUCUCUGCAGAGGACAGAGACCAGCGCCCGCACAAGGACCCUGCAAGUAUCUGGGGUUGGACCAGUCCUGCAACAGACCCACCCCUUCCCCAGGUGCAGACCACCCUGGCCGUGUGCAUUCUGGCCGAGAGCUACCAGGAAGACAAGGCUAUCAUUAACAGCCCACUAGUAAUUUGCAAAAUCAUGAGCACAAACAAAAACUUCAUGCCAAAUUGGCAUUUUCCUCACUUUACAACACACAACCACAUCCGUAUUGUAUGAUCACAUGACAGGCCUGGGCAGCCCGCAGAGCAUGUAUUACCCUUUCUGUUUUCAGAGGAGGAAACUGAGGCUUGCCAGCCAGUGAGUGGCUGACAGAGCCAAAUUUAGAAGGCCAGGGACAUCCUGCCUCUGUUGGAAAUCCUCCAACCACUGGACCUACACAUCUUUUCCAUCCCCAAAAAGCAUGGAGGUGACCACCAGGGACAGACUGUGUCCCUUUGUAAAGAUUCCCACAGGAUUUAUGGCCGCUGGAGUGAACCCUGCAGUGGCCUUAGCAAAGCUGCUGGUUCUGUUCAGAGAAGGUGGGAGUCAGGAGCAGCUGAACCAGCUGACCCCCAGGGCUGUAGGAGGGACAGCUCACUGCCACCCAGUGGGCCUGGCUGGUUGCACUCCUCAGCUAGGAACCCCCCUUGGGGCUGACCCUGAUACUAAAGAUAGGUUUAGCUGACUGCACAGGAGGAAGAGCUGGCAGGAGGGAUCCCAAGUCAGCCACCUUCCACUGCCAGCAGCAGCAGGUGCAGGUGCAGUCAGUCCCCUCACAGGACUCAGAUCUUUCUCCCUGGGAUCUUGCAAAGGGCCCAAGGUUACACAUGUGUUUGGAAACUAGCAGUAUAUGGAAAAAACAAAGAAAAGCCAGGAUGGGGCUACAAAACUUGUAUGUUUAAAAUGUUUUCAUGGAACACAUUAAUGCUUAUAUAACACUAUGCACUGAGAAACUAAAGCAGAUACCUUAAAGCAACUGAGGCCAAUAGGAAAAGGGGACCAGGAACUAAUUCUUCAAAAAGAAUUAACCUAGAAGGUAACACCCACGCACAGGAAAUCAAUGUGAGUCAAUGCCCUGUAUAGCUAUCCUUAUCUCAACCAGCAAAAACCCUUGUUCCUUCCUAUUAUUGCUUAUAC
This 1743-nucleotide long non-coding RNA is filed under the name Castor canadensis (American beaver). RNAcentral describes it as "lncRNA (ENSCCNG00000026506.1)". Lineage: Eukaryota; Metazoa; Chordata; Mammalia; Rodentia; Castoridae. The record is from RNAcentral.